AGAACGAACGCUGGCGGCAUGCCUAACACAUGCAAGUCGAACGAGACCUUCGGGUCUAGUGGCGCACGGGUGCGUAACGCGUGGGAAUCUGCCCUUAGGUACGGAAUAACAGUGAGAAAUUACUGCUAAUACCGUAUGAUGUCUUCGGACCAAAGAUUUAUCGCCUAGGGAUGAGCCCGCGUAGGAUUAGCUAGUUGGUGGGGUAAAGGCCUACCAAGGCGACGAUCCUUAGCUGGUCUGAGAGGAUGAUCAGCCACACUGGGACUGAGACACGGCCCAGACUCCUACGGGAGGCAGCAGUGGGAAUAUUGGACAAUGGGCGAAAGCCUGAUCCAGCAAUGCCGCGUGAGUGAAGAAGGCCUUCGGGUUGUAAAGCUCUUUUGCCCGGGAAGAUAAUGACUGUACCGGGAGAAUAAGCCCGGCUAACGUCCGUGCCAGCAGCCGC
RNAcentral lists this ribosomal RNA (445 nucleotides) under uncultured bacterium. Its description in RNAcentral is "SSU rRNA". It matches the Rfam family "Bacterial small subunit ribosomal RNA", at positions 26 to 518 of the family's 1533-position model. The record is from RNAcentral.